GCCGGCGUGGCUCAGUGGUAGAGCGAGAUAUUGGUAAUAUCUAGGUCAUGAGUUCGAUUCUCAUCGCUGGCU
Molecule: transfer RNA, 72 nt
Filed under: Candidatus Levyibacteriota bacterium
Lineage: Bacteria; Candidatus Levyibacteriota
Description: tRNA-Thr
Rfam family: tRNA
About the family: Transfer RNA (tRNA) molecules are approximately 80 nucleotides in length. Their secondary structure includes four short double-helical elements and three loops (D, anti-codon, and T loops). Further hydrogen bonds mediate the characteristic L-shaped molecular structure. tRNAs have two regions of fundamental functional importance: the anti-codon, which is responsible for specific mRNA codon recognition, and the 3' end, to which the tRNAs corresponding amino acid is attached (by aminoacyl-tRNA synthetases). tRNAs cope with the degeneracy of the genetic code in two manners: having more than one tRNA (with a specific anti-codon) for a particular amino acid; and 'wobble' base-pairing, i.e. permitting non-standard base-pairing at the 3rd anti-codon position.
Source: RNAcentral